Triticum dicoccoides is the source of this 1543-nucleotide long non-coding RNA. RefSeq lists it as uncharacterized. Lineage: Eukaryota; Viridiplantae; Streptophyta; Magnoliopsida; Poales; Poaceae. The transcript is spliced from 6 exons. The record is from RefSeq and is a predicted model, not a curated record.
CCCCAAUAUGUCGAUCUCCUCUCCCCUCGCCUCCUCCUCUCUCGGGUCACCGCGCCGCCGGCUCAGCCGCUUCUCCCGCGCCUUCUCCUCGCCGCUCCUCUCCUCAUAGAUGAGUCCUCGACCAGAUCGGCGUCCAGCGCAGGAGGAUCCGAGUGGUCGUGGUGGCAGCAUCUUCAGUGGCGUCGCCGGAGGAGCUCCACGCGCGGGGGAGAUAUCUCCACGGGCCCGCGCAACCACGUCCCCUCGCUGACGUCGGCAUUAGUCCGCCCGUGCCACCGAGGAGGGGGAGCAGCUGCGCCCAGAGGAGGUUGUCCCCAACGCCUGCAUAAUCCAGGCCUGAUUUGUGGAGAGCCCGGCGCAGCACCGUCUACAGGUCAUGAUUGUUUCUGCAGUUGCCGAUUCGUUUUUUUGCUUCCAAUGCUUUGUUAGAAUGAUAAGGGUGGGAGCUUCAAUGACGAAUCCACAAUUCAGCACACAGCCCAACUCUACAGACACGAGCCAUGUCGACAGUUGGGGUGGCACUUGGGGGCAUGCUCGCCUUGGCAGUCAUUAAGGUGGCGAGCUCAAUUCUACCAUUUCAAGCGAGAUGAAGCUGCACAAGAAAUUGAGGAACGAUCUGGAGAAUAUGAAGAUGAUGCUAGAGUCGGUGGAGGCCGUGCUCGGCGACGCUGAGAGGGAGUCUAUCAAGCAUAAGUCCAUGCUUAUGUGACUGAAUCGGCUUAAGGAUGCCUCGAACGACAUCUCCGACAUGCUUGGAAGAUUUUGGAGAUGAAACCGACUUCAACCUAUGAAGUAGAUCUGAAUCUCACUGUUGGAGUUGAUCUUUUAGUCGAUGUUAAGUAAAAGCUACUUCUACUUGUUGAUGCCAAGACCACCUUUAGUGGGCAUCCACGAUGAAGAAGAUUAAGAUGCCACGUUAGAUGAGAUCGAUGCAAAAGCACCUACAAAAUAUGGACCGUGAUAGUUAUGGUGUUCAGCUAGAAACUCGCUGCCAGGAGCGGCAAGUUCCUGACAUCCGGGAAACAGAAGGAUAUGUGGAGGACGUAGAAAUCAUCCGGAGGACUGAUGACAAAAGGAAAAUCUUGGAUUGCAUAUCUGGGAGCAUAGAGAGGCUGGCAUUUGACAAUACGGUCCUGUGUGUGCAUUGACUACUGGUGCUACAGCCUAUAAUUUUUCUUGUGGAGUGGACCGAAGUAAUCCAUCAAGCUAGCUGCAUUAUUGAUUCUGUUCCUUUUGCUGGCGAGCAGAAGAUGCGGUGUGGCUAUGGCACGGUUGAAGUUCAGGACAUUUUUGUUGGUUUUUCAUUUUCAUGGGUCGUGUAUCGGCAAGCUCUCCCCCGACGCGUCGUGUAGUUCGCCGGUCCACAUCGUGCGGUUCACCGGCCAUUUGACUGCAUUGUAGUCGACCCCUCAUGUGUGGCGUGCAACUCGGAGCAAAGCGGCAUGCAGUUUAAUCUGUUGUUUGUGGUUUUUUUUGUGUCUAUCGAAUGUAUCUGGUUGGGAUAUGAUGAAUUUUGUGUAAAAAAUAUUUGUUGAGAAGUUCA